UUGACCUCAAAUCAGGUAGGACUACCCGCUGAACUUAAGCAUAUCAAUAAGCGGAGGAAAAGAAACUAACAAGGAUUCCCCUAGUAACUGCGAGUGAACCGGGAAAAGCUCAAAUUUUGAAUCUGGCAGUCCUUUGAGGUUGUCCGAAUUGUAAUCUAGAGAAGUGUUUUCCGCGCUGGACCGUGUAUAAGUUUCCUGGAAAGGAACGUCAUAGAGGGUGAAAAUCCCGUCUUUGACACGGACACCCAGGGCUAUGUGAUGCACUCUCGACGAGUCGAGUUGUUUGGGAAUGCAGCUCAAAUAGGGUGGUAAAUUCCAUCUAAAGCUAAAUAUAGGCGAGAGACCGAUAGCGAACAAGUACCGUGAGGGAAAGAUGCAAAGAACUUUGGAAAGAGAGUUAAACAGUACGUGAAAUUGCUGAAAGGGAAACGCUUGAUGUCAGUCGCGUUGGCUGGGGAUCAGUCUUGCUUUUAGUGAGGCGUACUUCCUAGUCGACGGGUCAGCAUCAGUUUUGAUUGUCGGAAAAGGACUUGAGGAAUGUGGCACUCUCUUAACAGGGGGUGUGUUAUAGACUCUUGUCUUGAAUACGAUGGUUGGGACUGAGGAAACCGCAGCACGGCCUUUAUGGUUUUCGGGGCUUAGGCUCACGUUUAGCGUGCUUAGGAUGCUGGCAUAAUGGCCUUAAGCGACCCGUCUU
Molecule: ribosomal RNA, 697 nt
Filed under: uncultured fungus
Lineage: Eukaryota; Fungi
Description: eukaryotic LSU rRNA
Rfam family: Eukaryotic large subunit ribosomal RNA
Source: RNAcentral